ACACCAAAGCGCUUACCCAACUGCUGGUGGUAACGCCCGACAUCAACACCCUUAGUUAUGG
RNAcentral lists this small RNA (61 nucleotides) under Mycoplasmoides pneumoniae M129. RNAcentral's name for it is "Mycoplasma pneumoniae M129 ncRNA". Lineage: Bacteria; Bacillati; Mycoplasmatota; Mycoplasmoidales; Mycoplasmoidaceae. The record is from RNAcentral.